Molecule: long non-coding RNA, 330 nt
Organism: Mus musculus (house mouse)
Lineage: Eukaryota; Metazoa; Chordata; Mammalia; Rodentia; Muridae
Product: predicted gene, 57769
Exons: 2
Source: RefSeq, a predicted model, not a curated record
CCUAGUGGGGAAAGAACAAGGCAGAGUCAGAGCUGCCCUGAGCUGACUGCACAGAGGCCACACUGCCAGUGUGCAUGCUUCACCUGCUGCUGCUGCCCCUGCUGGACACGCCCCGUGCUGAGCAUGCAAAGGCAACAGAAGCGCCAGGAGACGGCUCAGAGGGUAAGUGAAGUGGCCUCCACCAGUCAAGCCCGGCAAGCUUUAAGUCUCCAGAGUCCACAUGGCAGAAGAAGAGAAAGGAUCCCCCCUAGGUCAUCCUCUGACCCCACCCAUCCUGUGGCAUGAGCAUGCUCACACCUACACAAAAUCAAUAAAUGCGUGUAAACAUUG